CACAUGCCCCGGCACUGGGACCCAUUCAUGAGAAUGGAAUCUCAUAAAAAACGCAAAGGGAAUCUGGUGAAGCAAUUUGCUUCUUUUCCUUACACUGUAUCUUGGCUGUAAUAUUUUCUGACACUAGAAAUAAAUUAAUUUCAUGUUUAGGUUUCUCUUUCUACAUUCCCCUCCACUGGACCAAAAAGUGGUUUAGAUUAACUAGGUAUGAAAGGCCCAAAGAACACAAGGGUUUCCAUUGUGUAACUGCCGAAAGACAAAGGGCACAAAAAAUACAGAUGUUUUUGCCUUGCUGCUGCAAAAGUGUGGUGGACUAACUCCUUGUCUCUGGAAUGCAAAUUUUCUUUCACAGUUUAGCAGUCUUUUUUGGAUUUCAGCACAGUGAACUAACACUUUCCUGGAUUCCAAGACCUCCAGAGAACCAGAUGGAUGAGAGGAAUUGGGAAAAAGAACCCACACUGCUUGAAAAAGAUAAGAAGACUAAAACUUUGGAAGAUGUCUGUUUUAUUAGCACUCUGGGAAGCUGAGGCAGGAGGAUCAAGAGAAUUGAAGUGAUUUAUUUCAACCCUCCACUGAAACAGAGGAGGACUUUUCCUCUAUGGAUUGUGGAGAAGAGAGAAGGCAUUACAUACAUUGAGCCCUAAAAUAAAAGAGACAUUUCCAGCCUCUAGGUCUAGAAAAGGAAGCUUGGACUGCGAGGGAAGAAGAGAGACCAGAAAUGUUACCUCAGAUAAUUUGACGCUUUGGCUAUUUCACCACAGAGAGGCACAACACAGUGACUGCAGGAGCAACUAAGGGAAAUGAAGUAUUCAGAGGCCAGAGGAGGGGUUUCCAAAGCACCCCUGGAUCCUAGAGAUGACCGAACUGGGAAGAUCAUCUACCUAGCCCCACAAGACAGUUUCACUGAUGGUGAAACAGAUGUGGUGACAAAGUCGCUGGAUAUACUGUCAAGUUUUAGAGCAAGCCAUGUGAGCUUGCUUCUCAAGCCAUGGUGCCUCCUACCUCCACACAACAGUGAUAGAAAUGGUGGAAGAAUAAAGACCUAGAGACACAGGGAUGGGCUCAGCCGUCCAGGCUGGCAGCAGGAUGCCGUAGUACAUACACGAAGGCCCUUGCAACUGACCGAAGGUGGACUUCACCCACAUUUCCGCGACUUGUAUUCAUGAUGACAUUUAAAAGGCGGAGAAUAAACUAGUUAUAGUAUAUUCAUGGAAUGCGGCAUACCCAGGGAAUACUAGACAACAAAGAGAGGCAGAUGGUUGAUAUAAACAUGGACGAAUCUCAAAAACUGCACAUUGAAUGAAAGAGCCAGAGACCAAAAAAUAAAUACGGUAUACUUCCACCGUUAUCGCAAUUCAAACAACUAUGGUGUGAGAACUCUGAACGUAUUUGCCUGUGAGGCGGCAGGUGGGGCUGGACUGGUAAGAGUCACAGGGGGGUUUUCUGGAAUGAUACGUGAGCUAGGUAUUGUCUGCCUGCAGUAAAAUGAGAAAAUGCAAACAAACUAUUAAAGGUGAUACUGC
Long non-coding RNA from Chinchilla lanigera (long-tailed chinchilla), 1523 nucleotides. RefSeq lists it as uncharacterized. NCBI's taxonomy places the organism in Eukaryota, Metazoa, Chordata, Mammalia, Rodentia, Chinchillidae. The transcript has 4 exons. The record is from RefSeq and is a predicted model, not a curated record.